AGACAGAAAUCAGGUGGGAUCCCUCUGUGGAAGUGAAUGGGGUGAUUAAAAUUGUGAUAAAUUCAUUCAGUGGAACAAAAAUUAAAAUAAUCUCUACUCUAUAUCAAAAACUGAUGACGAACAAACAUUCAACUAAGUACAUAAAAGAAAAGUGGGAAUCAGAGCUUAACAUGACAAUUUCAGAUGAAGAUUGGUUGGAUAUGUGGAAAACACAUCAGACAUCCACCAAUUCAUGGAUAUGGAGGGAAUUCACAUGGAAAAAUCUGUAAAUGACCUUACUAGUAUUUUGUGUUUCCUCAUGUAAAUGAGUAUUUGUUGACAUGACAGUCUAUACUUUUAUUGUGAAAGGGCUUGGAACGGAAGGUGACAAACUGCUCGGUCAUGGCGGAGAGAGAGCGCGCACGGGUCGGAGCGAAAGGGAGAUAAUUACGGAGUAAUUCUAAUUAUGGUGUAGACAAUCAGUUAAUUGGUGCUUGGUUGAUGAGGGAACAAGCUCUUACGGUGUGUUCACACACAAAGGCUGUAAAAUAAAGGACUGUGAACCAUCAGUUUGAGAGACCAUCCUUUCAACCGGGACGCUACAAAAUCUAAUACAAUUUUUCAUCACGCCUAAAGUCAAGAAUAGAGAUAAGGACACAAACAUGGGGUGUUGGCGGAACCGUGGAUCAAUGAAUGCAGAUCAUUCUCACAUAUUCUGGUACUGUCCUAAAAUUGUUCAAUUUUGGAAAAAUGUACAUGAAACUGUGAAGAAGAUUCUGGGAUAUGAUAUUCCUAUGAAUAGUGUGGUACUAUAUCUUUACAAUUUUAACAAUAUCAAAGUAAGUGUAAAAGACAAGUAUCUGAUUAAGAUAUUGUUAAUAGCUAGCAAGAAAGCUAUUACGAGGAAAUGGGGAAAGGCAGACCCUCCUUGUCAGGAACAAUGGACUGGAAUAAUAGAAGAAAUCUACAUAAUGGAAAAACUGACACAUCGUCUGAGACUUCAACAAACACAAAUGGAAGAAAAGUGGAUGAAAUGGACAGCAUUCAAGAAUAAAGACAGUCACAAAAAUAAAGAACAGGCAAACUAGACGGGUCAAAGGUCAAAUAGAGGAAUAGCUCCCAAGCUAAGGUUUUAUGUUAUGUUGAAUGUGAAGUGUUCAUGUACAUUGUGUAUGUAAACAAAAGUGAAAAAUACUAAUAAAAAGUUAAGUGAUAAAAAAAACGAAA
Xiphophorus hellerii (green swordtail) is the source of this 1206-nucleotide long non-coding RNA. RefSeq lists it as uncharacterized. The transcript is spliced from 2 exons. NCBI's taxonomy places the organism in Eukaryota, Metazoa, Chordata, Actinopteri, Cyprinodontiformes, Poeciliidae. The record is from RefSeq and is a predicted model, not a curated record.